UGGGGAAUAUUGGACAAUGGGCGCAAGCCUGAUCCAGCCAUGCCGCGUGUGUGAAGAAGGCCUUUUGGUUGUAAAGCACUUUAAGCGAGGAGGAGGCUCCUUUAGUUAAUACCUAAAGAGAGUGGACGUUACUCGCAGAAUAAGCACCGGCUAACUCUGUGCCAGCAGCCGCGGUAAUACAGAGGGUGCGAGCGUUAAUCGGAUUUACUGGGCGUAAAGCGUGCGUAGGCGGCUUUUUAAGUCGGAUGUGAAAUCCCUGAGCUUAACUUAGGAAUUGCAUUCGAUACUGGAAAGCUAGAGUAUGGGAGAGGAUGGUAGAAUUCCAGGUGUAGCGGUGAAAUGCGUAGAGAUCUGGAGGAAUACCGAUGGCGAAGGCAGCCAUCUGGCCUAAUACUGACGCUGAGGUACGAAAGCAUGGGGAGCAAACAGG
This 430-nucleotide ribosomal RNA is filed under the name uncultured Acinetobacter sp. RNAcentral's name for it is "bacterial SSU rRNA". It matches the Rfam family "Bacterial small subunit ribosomal RNA", at positions 355 to 776 of the family's 1533-position model. The record is from RNAcentral. Lineage: Bacteria; Pseudomonadati; Pseudomonadota; Gammaproteobacteria; Moraxellales; Moraxellaceae.